Molecule: ribosomal RNA, 260 nt
Filed under: uncultured archaeon
Lineage: Archaea
Description: partial 16S ribosomal RNA
Rfam family: Archaeal small subunit ribosomal RNA
Source: RNAcentral
UAGCCGUAAACGAUACUCGCUAGGUGUCGGCCACGGUGCGACCGUUGUCGGUGCCGUAGGGAAGCCGUGAAGCGAGCCACCUGGGAAGUACGGCCGCAAGGCUGAAACUUAAGGAAUUGGCGGGGGAGCACCACAACGGGUGGAGCUUGCGGUUUAAUUGGAUUCAACGCCGGAAAUCUUACCGGGACCGACAGCAACAUGAAGGCCAGGCUGAAGACUUCGCCGGAUUAGCUGAGAGGAGGUGCAUGGCGUAGUCGUGU